UUUUAAGAGAGUUUGAUUCUGGCUCAGGAUGAACGCUGGCGGCACGGAUAAGUCAUGCAAGUCGAACGAUGCAAGGUAGCAAUACUUUGUAUAGUGGCGAACGAGUUAGUAACACCUUGGUACGUACUCCGAAGUUGGGCAUAACUCGCCGAAAGGCGAAUUAAUUCCCGAUGGUCUCGUAAGAGUAAAGUCGCAAGACGCUUCGGAAGCGGCCUAGGUCCUAUCAGCUUGUUGGCGGGGUAAUGGCCCACCAAGGCUAUGACGGGUAGGGGGUGUGAGAGCACGACCCUCAACGAUGGAACUGAGAAACGGUCCAUACACCUACGGGUGGCAGCAGACGAGAAUAUUCGACAAUGGGCGAAAGCCUGAUCGAGCGAUGCCGCGUGCGGGAAGAAGGGCUUCGGCCUGUAAACCGCUUUUGUCAGGGAAGAAUUUUGACGGUACCUGAAGAAUAAGGGGUUGCUAACCUCGUGCCAGCAGCAGCGGUAAUACGAGGACCCCAAGCGUUAUCCGGAAUUACUGGGCGUAAAGAGUGAGUAGCCGGUUUUGUUAGUCUGAUGUUAAAUCUUGAGGCUCAACUUCGAGACCGCAUUGGAAACGGCAAGACUAGAGUGGGUAAGAGGCAGACGG
This 630-nucleotide ribosomal RNA is filed under the name bacterium. RNAcentral describes it as "bacterial SSU rRNA". It matches the Rfam family "Bacterial small subunit ribosomal RNA", at positions 1 to 664 of the family's 1533-position model. The record is from RNAcentral.